This is a long non-coding RNA of Ictidomys tridecemlineatus (thirteen-lined ground squirrel), 2005 nucleotides long. RefSeq lists it as uncharacterized. The record is from RefSeq and is a predicted model, not a curated record. Lineage: Eukaryota; Metazoa; Chordata; Mammalia; Rodentia; Sciuridae.
UCCCCUCCCCCUCCCGCAGAGUCGGACAGCUGGUGCACGAACAGCGCCAUGGCUUCCCACUGCAGUGACCAGGCCUCCCCCUGCUGCCUUGAGCACCCCCAGCCAGGCAGCUGCUUCGGCCCCAACAACCUGGGGUCUGAGCGCCAACGCUUUGGUCUGCAUUCCCAGAGGGUGUGGGGCUUUCCCCUUCACAAGUCUGGAGCAGAAUUCUGAAGCUGGAGGUCAUCAGAAAGGUCAGCUGGCGGUGACAGGUUAAGUCACUGCUGCAAGUUGGGCCUCAAGAGUCUAAUGGACACCACGAUGACACACCUUGCUGCUUCCACACAGGUGGCUGGAAGGGCUCCAUGGGAGAAAGGAUGCGAAAGGCCCCCAUGUGCCCCUGCACUCACCUUCCGGUCCACACAGGCCACAGAGCGUCCGGCAAACAGGCUGGCCACACCCCGGGCCACAUUGACCUCGUCACUCAGGAUGUCUUCCCACCGGUUAUUGCGGAACUUGAACAGUUUGUCUGUGUAUGUGGCCACCCCUGGAGAGAGGAGGAAGGGAGGAUCAGAUUGGAUGGACCAGGGUACAGAUUCUGGCCUCUGGGUGUGUCUCCUGGGACCUGCCACAAGGUGGCUGGGACCAUGGUGGUCCUUAGUGGCAUGCAGACCUCAAGUAGCUGAGACUGUGCUAUUGGAGGUGCUUAGGUGUUUUCAUUAGGUUGGCCGGGGAAGAGGUCGUGGGCUUAAGCUGAGGGAGGCAGGACAACGUUUAUGAACUGGGGGUUUAGAGCAAAUGAGAGCAAUCUCAUUUCUGCCUCGAUUCUACUUUUAGGUUCCAGAUUUUUGGUUAAGUUGCUUGGGACUAGUUUUUGUUUGUGAAUGAGGACGACAAUAAUAACUACAGUCAAGUUUACUGCAAGGAAUAAAUAAGAUGCUGCACAUGAAAGGUUUGGCAUGGUAGCUGCUAUUAGAUAGAAAUGAUUUCCCCAUUUUAUAGAUGAGCUACUCUCUGAAGUCCUAUAGAGACCGCACACUGCAGGGGUUUGGUGAGAGUCAGUGACUUUGUGAGUGUGAAUGAGUGCUCAGGGUCCGAGUGUGCAAGUGUGUGUAAGAGAACAAGUGAGUGGCAGGAGAGAAUGGGUGUGCAAACGGGUGCAUGUGUGGGUGUGGGAAAGUGAGGGACGGAGUGUGAGCGUGGCAUUGAGGAGAGAGAAGCGGAUCCCAGUCCCUCGAGUGGCUCAGCCCAGGGAUGACAAAGGACCUCUAGGCUGCAGUUUUCUCAUCUGUGGAGGAGAAAGGCAGUGCUCACCACAUUCCAGUUUACUGAGAGGGUCUGGAGGGUGUUGUCUGGGGCUUCCUGAGCCCAGGGGCUGCUCAGACCUGGAGCGUCGUGGGUGGGAUCGGGAACGGGCCUCAGGGAUGCUGGCUGGGCACUGAGGAGCGGGCCCCUGGAACAGGGCCACCCCGUCCCUGCCUGCCUGGAGGGGCAGCUGAGCCCUGGUCCACAGAGGACGGAAGGCCUCCCCAUGGGGAGCAAGCGGGGUCUGCAGUGUGAUGGUAGGGGAGGUUUCUGGGGAUCCACAGGUGCGGGUCGGCCCGGCGCUGUGGCUGGGGAGGGAGGCCGGCAGGGAAACUGAAGCACUGGUGAGUCCCUCAUUCUCUGGCCCUGGUUUCCUCAUCUGAGAGUUGCGAUAAGAGCUGUGCCUCAUGCACACUGUCGCUGUGGGCAUCACAAGAGAAAACACACACGAAGCCCUGGCCACAGGUCCUGUAGGCAGGGCAGUGGCAGCUUGACACCACCGCAGGCCCAGGGCCCCUCACAGAAACCCCUGGGGCCCAAAUGUGUCUAGAAGUUUAGAUUGUUAUCUCAGACAGGUAACGGUGGUGCACAUACCAUGGGUUAUGUAACACCCCAGCAGGGACUGGGGGUGGCACCCCAUAAUUAAACACUUUAAUAUUUCUGCAGUGAAACAUGAAUAUUCACAUUAAGUGGGAUAAAUAAAGCUUAUAAAUAGUUCACA